This 504-nucleotide ribosomal RNA is filed under the name uncultured bacterium. Its description in RNAcentral is "partial 16S ribosomal RNA". It matches the Rfam family "Bacterial small subunit ribosomal RNA", at positions 29 to 523 of the family's 1533-position model. The record is from RNAcentral.
AUUGAACGCUGGCGGCAGGCCUAACACAUGCAAGUCGAACGGUAGCACAGAGAGCUUGCUCUCGGGUGACGAGUGGCGGACGGGUGAGUAACGUCUGGGAAACUGCCCGAUGGAGGGGGAUAACUACUGGAAACGGUAGCUAAUACCGCAUAACGUCGCAAGACCAAAGUGGGGGACCUUCGGGCCUCACACCAUCGGAUGUGCCCAGAUGGGAUUAGCUAGUAGGUGGGGUAAUGGCUCACCUAGGCGACGAUCCCUAGCUGGUCUGAGAGGAUGACCCGCCACACUGGAACUGAGACACGGGCCAGACUCCUACGGGAGGCAGCAGUGGGGAAUAUUGCACAAUGGGCGCAAGCCUGAUGCAGCCAUGCCGCGUGUAUGAAGAAGGCCUUCGGGUUGUAAAGUACUUUCAGCGGGGAGGAAGGCGGUGAAGUUAAUAGCUUCACCGAUUGACGUUACCCGCAGAAGAAGCACCGGCUAACUCCGUGCCAGCCGCCGCGGUAA